Molecule: ribosomal RNA, 26 nt
Filed under: Penicillium virgatum
Lineage: Eukaryota; Fungi; Ascomycota; Eurotiomycetes; Eurotiales; Aspergillaceae
Description: partial 18S ribosomal RNA
Source: RNAcentral
CGUAGGUGACUGCGGAGGGAUCAUUA